UGAGGAAUAUUGGUCAAUGCCCGCAAGGGUGACCCAGCAACGCCGCGUGGAGGAUGAAUGUCGUAAGAUUGUAAACUCCUGUUAGAGGGGAAGAAUAGUACCGGUUGGACCGGUAUAUGACUGUACCCUCAGAGAAAGCCCCGGCUAACUACGUGCCAGCAGCCGCGGGAAUACGUAGGGGGCAAGCGUUGUCCGGAUUUACUGGGUGUAAAGGGCGCGCAGGCGGGAUAAAAAGUCAGUGGUGAAAUCCUACAGCUUAACUGUAGAACUGCCUUUGAUACUUUUAUUCUUGAGUUCGGGAGAGAGAGACGGAAUUCCAGGUGUAGUGGUGAAAUACGUAGAUAUCUGGAAGAACACCAGUUGCGAAGGCGGUCUCUUGGUCCGACACUGACGCUGAGGCGCGAAAGCGUGGGGAGCAAACA
This 422-nucleotide ribosomal RNA is filed under the name uncultured bacterium. RNAcentral describes it as "bacterial SSU rRNA". It matches the Rfam family "Bacterial small subunit ribosomal RNA", at positions 355 to 774 of the family's 1533-position model. The record is from RNAcentral.